UAGGGAAUCUUCGGCAAUGGGGGGAACCCUGACCGAGCAACGCCGCGUGAGUGAAGAAGGUUUUCGGAUCGUAAAGCUCUGUUGUUAAGGAAGAACGAGUGUGAGAAUGGAAAGUUCAUGCUGUGACGGUACUUAACCAGAAAGGGCCGGCUAACUACGUGCCAGCAGCCGCGGUAAUACGUAGGUCCCGAGCGUUGUCCGGAUUUAUUGGGCGUAAAGCGAGCGCAGGCGGUGAGCAAAGUCUGAAGUGAAAGGCAGUGGGUAAACCAUUGUAGGCUUUGGAAACUGUUUAACUUGAGUGCAGAAGGGGAGAGUGGAAUUCCAUGUGUAGCGGUGAAAUGCGUAGAUAUAUGGAGGAACACCGGUGGCGAAAGCGGCUCUCUGGUCUGUAACUGACGCUGAGGCUCGAAAGCGUGGGGAGCGAACAGG
This 429-nucleotide ribosomal RNA is filed under the name Verrucomicrobiota bacterium. RNAcentral's name for it is "Verrucomicrobia bacterium partial 16S ribosomal RNA". It matches the Rfam family "Bacterial small subunit ribosomal RNA", at positions 355 to 776 of the family's 1533-position model. The record is from RNAcentral. Lineage: Bacteria; Pseudomonadati; Verrucomicrobiota.